This 6938-nucleotide long non-coding RNA is filed under the name Oryza sativa (Asian cultivated rice). RNAcentral's name for it is "long non-coding RNA (OSAT_LNC000843)". The record is from RNAcentral. Lineage: Eukaryota; Viridiplantae; Streptophyta; Magnoliopsida; Poales; Poaceae.
UUCCUCAGAGAGCACAAGAUAGACCCCGGUACAGUGACCGAACUCGCUAUGUGAAGCGGAGGGAGAAUCAGGCGUACCAGCGGUGAAGGCUCACCUUACCUGCAACUGGCUAGAUGCAUCGACUCCUGCGUUUAGAACAGCAGCUCCUGCACGAGAAAUGCCUUAGAUUUUUUGUAUGCUGCUGCUGUGUAAUCUGGUAAUGUUUUAUGCAUCUGGGCAUGUAUGUUUUGUCUACUUCAAUCGACUAAUCUAUUGAACUAUGGCAUAUGAAUUUGAAGCCCCACUUUUUGGCCAUUUUUAGCAUAGCUCCAGAUUUCAGGUUCACGCUGGAUUUAACGUUUGUAUGUUAAAUUACAGUGUUUUAAAAUUUUAUAUUUCAUUUAAAUAAAAAUAAAAUGAUUUAUUCAAAUGUUAUCAACAUAAUCACAUAUUUAGAUCCAUGAAUUUAUGGAGCUAUAAAUACUUAACUCUAAGAAACUCUUAGAUCCAGAAUUAUGUUAAACAAGGCAUUUAUCUCAUUUUAGAAACUUGGCAUACUUCUUUCGUUACAAAAUAAGUUAAUCCAGUAUUGGAUGCGGCAUAAUUCUUUCGUUCCAAAAUAAAUUAAUUUAGUAUUAGAUGUGACAUACUUCCUUCGUUCCAGAAUAAGUUAAUCAGUAUUAGAUGUGACAUAUCCUAAUACUUGAAUUUGGACAUGUAUCUAUCUAAAUUAGUGGUAAUAUGGGUGUAUAUUCGUUGCUACUAGAUUAACUUAACUUAUUUUUGAACGGAUCUAAAUUAGUGGUAAUAGGGGUGUAUAUUCAUUACUACUAGAUUAACUUAUUUUUGAACUGACGAAGUAGUAAAGAUUAAAGAAAGUUUCAGUUUCUUGUUGCGUGACCCAUGUUGCCAAUGCCAACGGCGACGAGAAUCGCCUAUCGUGCAAAUGCAAUCUGGGACGCCAUGUCAAUUUCGCGUUCUCUGGCCCUGUAUCAACGUGGAACGGUGGGAAGCAAUCGGCGGACGGCCACGGUGGCCAUCGCUCGUGAAUCGUCGUGAUAUGCCGCGAGCGCAACGUGUGGUGGAGGCGGGAAACACCAACGCACGCGAUUCGCCGCGUACGCCAGCCGCCCCCGCCUGCCGAGGACGCCAGUUAACUGCCUGGCACCCGCUCAUCAGGGGACAAAUCCUCAUUCAAUUCACACCAUAAAUCACUAUUUAACCAUCUAUUGCAUCUCAUUCUCUCAUUCGCUCAAUCCUAGUUCCAAGUUACAAACUCAUUUCUGUUUCCGCCGAGGCGAGCGCCCAGAGCACGAAUCGGCGAUGAUGCCGCUGAAGAAGAAGAUGGAUCCAUCGGCGUCGAAUUCGAUCUCCUGUAUGAUACUUUCUAUGGCACAGUUUCCCCUUUUCGUUCUUGGUUCAAUUGUGGAAAACGGCAUCUUUUCUUUCAUGGCAAUCUGAUUAUCUAAGGAUGAGUAUAACCUCUAAUCCUCUAUCAUCUCUUCUUCAGCAUCUCCCUCGGAUAAAAUGGGAGAGCCAGAGGAAAUGGAUGAGGUGGAGCAAGUUUCGUCUGAUCUAAAGUCAUUGAAGACUCUAUAUGGGCUGCUUCACAGGGGUCCGACGGAUGAAACUGUGAGUUUUUCUAAGAACCAGAUUGAACAUGUCGUAUUAUUAUUUUUCUGAAGUGAACAAGAAUAGGAGAAAGCAUAAAUCUGUUUCCAUUUUUCUAAACCGCUUUGGUCAGGCGUUUCUGAAUAGCAGAGCAGCGAUUUAUUUUUCAGUAUCUGCUAGAUGCUCGUGUUUAGUUCAUAUUCUCCUUGGGGAAAUUCGGAAGAAAGAAAAUGCAUGUGUCGAGUUGCUACUAUCACUUCAUGCUCAUAUUAUCUCGACGUUUUACAGUUGGAUGAAACAUCAAGAGCCUUCAUGACGAAGAUGUUAGAUGACAUUACUCGUCAGACACUCCUCAGGCAGGCAAAGGUGAUACAUUUUCGGACCAUUUGGUAAUUUCAUUCAGACAUUGUUUGCAAGAUUGCACCACUCCACCUUCAUCUCGGUUUUAAAUUUUCCCGGCAAAUGUUGAUCCAAAAGAAACAUCGCACGUUUGCAGAUGCUGUCUCCUGCGCUGGAGAGGAAGCUAUCAAUCCAGUCCGAUCAUCGCCGCGACGCGCGGCGACGCCGUGCCGGUGCCGGUGCCGGUCGUGAAGCCGAUAGCCUCGUUCAGCCCCAGCCUCCAUGCCUGUGAGAGAACAAGCCGGUUGAGGACACAAGGCGCGGUGAGAAGACGAGACAGUCGCCAUGGCCGUCUCCUUGCUCGCGUCGCCUCGAACCGCGCGGCAAGAACUGCAGUGCCGCCGCCGGCGCCGAGCCACCGUCAGAGUCUGGAGCGACGCCUUGACCACCUCGCCUCGCACCGUUCGUCCAGAGCCGUGACGCCGCGGCGCGGCACGGUGGCUGCUGGGAAUCCGCGCUCCGACAUGAGGUGGCUGCGCCGUGGCGAUCACUCGUCAAUGGAGCGCGGCGGCGGCAGCAGCAGCAGCAGGCGCCGCUCCCUCUCCCGCGAACCGUCGUCAGCUGUGCAGGAGCGGGGACGGGGGCUGCAUCGCGGCGCCUCGCCGCCGGCGGCACCGCGCGUGGGAGCGGAGGACGGCUCCUCGACGCGCCGUCUCGGGAGGAUGGACUCCGGGUUGUCUGUGAACUUGGUGCCGCCGCCACUGGCGCCGCGACAUGGCUGUCAGCGAGGCGGACGCGGCGCGGCAGCAACGACGAAGCUGUCCUCAUCGACGGACGCGGCUGUCACGAUACGCAGCAGCAUCAGGCCGAGCUCCCGGGAAUUCAUGGAGCGGUCCCCCCGUCGAGCUGGUGAAGCUGAAAACGAUAGGAAGGAAGUUGCCGAUGCUGCCCGGCCAAGCCGUGGUGAACUCUCGUCGAUGGAGCGCGGAAGCAGCAGUCGCCGAUCACUCUCCCGCGAACCGUCGUCAGCUGUUCAGGAGCGUGGACACGGGCCGCAUCGCGGCGCCUCGCCGCCGGCCGCAAUGCGCGUCGGAGCGGAGGGCUCCUCGACGCGCCGCAUCAAGAGGCUGGACUCCAGGUUGUCCGCGAGCAUGGUGUCGCGUCGUGGCACUCCGCGAGGCGGACGCGGCGCGGCAACGCCGAAGCUGUCCUCGUCGACCGACGCGGCUGCCACGACAUGCAGCCGCAUCAGGCCGAACAGUGACCUCACGGAGCGCUCCCUACGCCGAGCUAGUGAAGCUGAUGAAGACGAGAGCCCGCGACAGCGCCGGGGGAAGGGGAAGGAGAAGGAGAAGGCCGAUGACGAUGCUGCCAGCGUCAGCAUGGGCCGGCCAAGCCGGCCGCCGCGGCGAGCUCUGAACCGGAUCAACUCCGGCAGCACGUACAGCAGCAGCAGCCCACCAGAACCGACUUCGAGCACUUCAGGUUACACCUCCUCGUGGGUGCCACCGCGAGACAAAGUGCCGUCAUGGGUGCCACCGCCACCGCGGGGCAAUGCGCCGUCUUGGGUGCCACCGCCACCGCAACCGCGGGGCAAUGCGCCGUCGUGUGUGCCACCACCACCGCAAUCGCGGGGCAUUGCGCCGCCGGAGUACGGGUUUCAAGUGUCAGGCGUGUCGAGGAUCAGCUGCCACCUUCGCCUGGAGAGGAGAGUGGAGCGGAUGAGGAGGUUCAAGGAGAAGCUCGGCACGGUGUUCCACCACCUCCACCACCACCACCACUUCGGUCCCUCGGGCAGCAACGAGGGGGCGCCCCCGCUGCUCAGUCGUGACGUCCACGACAACGGCCUUCACCGCCCGUCGCCGUGGAAGGUUCUCGGCGGUGUCCUCCACCGCGCGACACGCCGUGGGGAGAAGAAGACCAGGAGCGUGCCGGCAGAUCGGCGUGGCGGCGUCGAGCACAUGCUGUUACACAUGUGGGACAAACGGCGGGCGAUGGCGAAGCAGCGUGGCGACGGCGGCGGCGGCGGCGUCGGGCGCGCACUGUUCCAAAUGUGGGGCAAACGGCGGGCGGCGGCCAAGCGGCGUGGCGGCGGCGUCGGGCGCGCGCUGUUCCAAAUGUGGGUCAAACGGCGGGCGACGGCGAAGCGACGGCGUCGGGCAUGCGCUGUUCCAAAUGUGGGUCAAACGGCGGGCGACGACGGCGAAGCGGCGUGGCAGCGACGGCGGCGUCGGGCGCGCGCUGUUCCACAUGUGGGGGAAACGGCGGGCGACCGCAAGCGCUGGAAUGUGGGGUACGGGAAGCCGGUGGAAGGCCAAGAAGCUGCACUGGUGGCAGCGGGUGAGGCCACGGCGCCGUUCAGGACAUGGAAAGGCAUUGCGGUAACAUGGUACUGGUAGAAUCUGUGUCUCUACUAUUUUGAAACAAAUUUUAAAUUGUAGAAGUUUGCUAUAAUUUAAGACGAAUGGAGUAGCUUAUUUGUAAUUUGUUUCACAGCUUAUUGCUCUAUAAGAAACAAUGCAAUAUAUUUUCAUUAGAAGCAAAUAUUCCUCUCUCAAUCCAGGGGUUAAAGUUAGUCCAUUCUCACAGCGUGGGAACCUAAAAGAAAUUCAUUGUCAUUACUAGACGAAGGGGUACAGCUUAAUCAUCAAAGCUAACAAUCCUAGUAUGUAAAUUUCAGCUAUCGCAUAAAUAAGAAAUAAUAUGUAGAUAGUAAAGGACAAGGGAAAUUUUGAGAACCGUACUUUACUAAAAAUCUUAUGUAUUGCGGUACAUGUGAGUUUAUCUUUUUUGGCAUCACGAAAAUAAUGUUUGAUAUCUAGGAACAGUAUAGUGCUCCGUUGAAUGCUAAAGAAUCAAUAACUUGUCUGAAUAAUUUACCCCUUACAGCUGAUGGUGUAUGUAGUCAUAGGCAUUUGCAUAUGUGCAUGAGUGCAUAUGUUGAAUGCCCAUAACUACUCUAAAUAGAUAAUUUGUUGUUGAAUAUUGCUGUGACGGUUUGUAAGAUGUUUGCAUUUGACAGGGCUCCCAGGUGUUCUAUUUGUGCUUCCUGAUUCCUAUGUUGAUGCCGAGAACAAGGACUAUGGUGGUAAGCUUUUUGUUACCUACCUCUCUAUAUCAUUUUUUUUCUUGUGUAAAAUGCAGUUGAUUUUACCCUGGCUGCCAUGUUAAUGGAUAUCCUUCAUGGAAAGCUGGUUGUUUUUAUCUUGGUCUUGUCCGCUUUCUGUUCCAGGUUUAUUGCACCCAGAAUCCAUUCAUCUUUAACUGUUUGUGCUUACUUGUACUACCAUAGUUGAUCUAUCCAGACCUGAAAUAUACACUGACAUUCUGCAUAGUUGAUUGUCUUCAGGAAUUAUUCCUCCAAUAUGCACAACUUUGUCUGGGUUCUCAUGUCAUUGUCGUUCUUUGCAGCUGAGUUGUUUGUAAACGGAGAAAUUGUUCAAAGAUCACCAGAAAGGCGGAGAAGGGUGGAGCCAGUUCCUCAGAGAGCACAAGAUAGACCCCGGUACAGUGACCGAACUCGCUAUGUGAAGCGGAGGGAGAAUCAGGCGUACCAGCGGUGAAGACUCACCAUACCUGCAACCGGCUAGAUGCAUCGACUCCUGCGUUUAGAACAGCAGCUCCCGCACGAGAAAUGGCUUAGAUUUUUUGUAUGCUGCCGCUGUGUAAUCUGGCAAUGUUUUAUGCAUCUGGGCAUGUAUGUCUUGUCUACUUCAAUAGACUAAUCUAUUGAACUGUGGCAUAUGAAUUUGAAGCCCCACUUUUUUUGCCAUAUUUGUCACAUCUGUUCACGCUGGAUUUAAAGUUUGCAUGUUAAAUUAAAGUUGUUUAAAAUUUUAUAUUUUAUUUAAAUAGAAAUAAAAUGAUUUAUUCAAAUGUUAUCGAUGUAAUCGUAAAUUCAGAUCGAUGAAUUUACGAAGCUAUAAAUACUGAACUAUAAGAAACUCUUAGAUUUAAAAUUGUAUUCUUUCGUUCUAGAAUAAGUUAACCUAUUACUAGAUGCGGAUAUCCUAAUACUAUAGAUCUGGAUAAGUAUCUAUGAUUCUAUGUAAAUUAAUGGUAUUAGGAUGAUAAACUUAUUUUGGUGGAUAUGUAUCUAGGUAAAUUAAUGUUAUUAGGGUGAUUAACUUAUUUUGGGAUGGACGAGGAAGUAGUAAAGAAAGCUUCAGUUUGUUCUUGCCAAUGCCAACGGCGACGAGAAUCGCCUACCGUGCAAAUGCAAUCUGGGACGCCAAGUCAAUUUCGCGUUCUCUGGCCCUGUAUCAACGUGGAACGGUGGAAGCAAUCGGCGGACGCCACGGUGGCCAUCACCCGUGAAUCGUCGUGAUAUGCCGCGAGCUCAACGUGUGGUGGAGGCGGGAAACUUAUCCUGCUUUUGCCUUGCCCCCGUGUCUUCGCCACGCCAGCCGCCCCCCGCCUGCCGACGAGGCCGCGGCCGCUGCUCAGUUCAGGCUCAGCUCGAGGGGAUCGUGCGGUUGGUUGCGCGAAGCGGCGGCGAGAAAUGGCGGGCGCGAGCUUCCUCUCGACCGUGCGGCAGCCUCCCGCGCCGCCGCCGCCGCUGCUCGCCCCACGCGGCUCCGCUUCCUCCGUCUCGUCUCCCGCGCGACGGCACGCCCACGUAUGUGCCCUGGAACUCGCGGGUGUAGUUUUGGUUUGGGCUAAAAAUGCCGUGUGAUUUGUGUAAUCCUUGGGAUUUUUUUUUCCGUGUAGAUUCUGGUGUGCUGCCAUGCUACCGCGCAGGAAGAGCCUGUGCGAUUCCGUAGAAGGGAUUUAAUCGGCGGCUGCUUGACUACUGCCAUUGGCUUGGUGCGUACCACUAUUCUUCGUCCCUUUUGUUUGCGUGAUCAGUGUAGUGUAGUCUUCUUAUACUUUAUUGGAGUAAGAAAGUGAAUGAAAUGUAGUAUGGUGGGGGUAAAGAAUAUUAACCUGCAGUUAGUGCUUUUCCUUUUCCAUGUUUAGUGUUGUUUUCAGAGGCGAUAGGCUUAACUACUUCAUGUCUUUUGAUUAGG